UACGAAGGUGGCUAGCGUUGUUCGGAAUCACUGGGCGUAAAGCGCACGUAGGCGGAUGUGUCAGUCAGGGGUGAAAUCCCGGGGCUCAACCUCGGAACUGCCUCUGAUACAGCACGUCUUGAGUCCGGAAGAGGUGGGUGGAAUUCCUAGUGUAGAGGUGAAAUUCGUAGAUAUUAGGAAGAACACCGGUGGCGAAGGCGACCCACUGGUCCGGUACUGACGCUCAGGUGCGACAGCUUUGGGAGCAAACAGG
This 253-nucleotide ribosomal RNA is filed under the name uncultured bacterium. RNAcentral describes it as "partial 16S ribosomal RNA". It matches the Rfam family "Bacterial small subunit ribosomal RNA", at positions 524 to 776 of the family's 1533-position model. The record is from RNAcentral.